Long non-coding RNA from Corapipo altera (White-ruffed manakin), 443 nucleotides. RefSeq lists it as uncharacterized. The record is from RefSeq and is a predicted model, not a curated record. Lineage: Eukaryota; Metazoa; Chordata; Aves; Passeriformes; Pipridae. The transcript has 3 exons.
GCCCUUUAAAUAUUGAAACUCAACACAUUUGGAUUUCAAAGGUUUUUUGAGUUUGGAGAAUACAGGAUUUGGGCUGAAUUUUUAACUAAUUUUUUAACUCAAAAAGCCCUUUAAAUAUUCAAACUCAACACAUUUGGAUUUCAAAGGGUUUUUAGGUUUGGAGAAUUCAAAAUUUUGGCUGCUCUGGGGUCUGGAACUUCACAAAUGUGGUUUUCUGGGGGGUUUUUGGGUUUUCGGGUUUGAUCAAUGCUCCUUAACGACCCCCAGCCAUGUUCAAUGGGCAGCUGCUCUUUGACAGACCCAUGCACGUGAAAAUGGACGAACGAGCCUUUCCCAAAGGAGAUUUCUUCCCUCCAGAGAGACCCCAACAACUCCCUCGUAAGUGUUUCCUGCAUGAUCCAACCCCCUCUGCUCCCAGCCCCAGGAAUUCCAGGGAAAAACUG